AGCAGCCGCGGUAAUUCCAGCUCCAAUAGCGUAUAUUAAAGUUGUUGCAGUUAAAAAGCUCGUAGUUGAAUUUCGGGAUCAAAUUGUUGGUCGUGCCUCGGUACGCACUGGUAUUAUUGGUUCCUACCUUCUGACGAACCAUGAUGUCAGUUAAUUUGGUGUCAUGGGGAAUCAGGACUGUUACUUUGAAAAAAUUAGAGUGUUUAAAGCAGGCUCACGCUUGAAUACAUUAGCAUGGAAUAACGAAAUAGGACGUUUGAUUCUAUUUUGUGGUUUCUAGGAUCGACGUAAUGAUUAAUAGGGAUAGUUGGGGGCAUUAGUAUUCAAUUGUCAGAGUGAAAUUCUGGAUUUAUUGAAGACUAACUACUGCGAAAGCAUUGCCAAGGAUGUUUUCAUU
This 397-nucleotide ribosomal RNA is filed under the name uncultured Glomus. RNAcentral's name for it is "SSU rRNA". It matches the Rfam family "Eukaryotic small subunit ribosomal RNA", at positions 569 to 974 of the family's 1831-position model. Lineage: Eukaryota; Fungi; Glomeromycota; Glomeromycetes; Glomerales; Glomeraceae. The record is from RNAcentral.